UAAUACGAAGGGUGCAAGCGUUAAUCGGAAUUACUGGGCGUAAAGCGUGCGUAGGCGGUUGGCUAAGUCAGAUGUGAAAGCCCUGGGCUCAACCUGGGAAUGGCAUUUGAAACUGGCCGGCUAGAGUGUGAUAGAGGAUGGCGGAAUUCCCGGUGUAGCGGUGAAAUGCGUAGAGAUCGGGAGGAACAUCCGU
RNAcentral lists this ribosomal RNA (193 nucleotides) under uncultured bacterium. RNAcentral's name for it is "partial 16S ribosomal RNA". It matches the Rfam family "Bacterial small subunit ribosomal RNA", at positions 521 to 713 of the family's 1533-position model. The record is from RNAcentral.